AAUAGAUACCCCGGUAGUCCACGCCGUAAACGAUGAGUGCUAAGUGUUAGAGGGUUUCCGCCCUUUAGUGCUGCAGCUAACGCAUUAAGCACUCCGCCUGGGGAGUACGGCCGCAAGGCUGAAACUCAAAGGAAAUUGACGGGGGGCCCGCACAAGCGGUGGAGCAUGUGGUUUAAUUCGAAGCAACGCGAAGAACCUUACCAGGUCUUGACAUCCUCUGCCAACCCUAGAGAUAGGGCGUUCCCCUUCGGGGGACAGAGUGACAGGUGGUGCAUGGUUGUCGUCAGCUCGUGUCGUGAGAUGUUGGGUUAAGUCCCGCAACGAGCGCAACCCUUGAUCUUAGUUGCCAGCAUUCAGUUGGGCACUCUAAGGUGACUGCCGGUGACAAACCGGAGGAAGGUGGGGAUGACGUCAAAUCAUCAUGCCCCUUAUGACCUGGGCUACACACGUGCUACAAUGGAUGGUACAAAGAGCUGCGAACCCGCGAGGGUAAGCCAAUCUCAUAAAGCCAUUCUCAGUUCGGAUUGUAGG
This 531-nucleotide ribosomal RNA is filed under the name uncultured bacterium. Its description in RNAcentral is "bacterial SSU rRNA". It matches the Rfam family "Bacterial small subunit ribosomal RNA", at positions 777 to 1304 of the family's 1533-position model. The record is from RNAcentral.